Molecule: ribosomal RNA, 417 nt
Filed under: uncultured Actinomycetales bacterium
Lineage: Bacteria; Bacillati; Actinomycetota; Actinomycetes; Actinomycetales
Description: bacterial SSU rRNA
Rfam family: Bacterial small subunit ribosomal RNA
Source: RNAcentral
CAGCAGUGGGGAAUAUUGCGCAAUGGGCGAAAGCCUGACGCAGCAACGCCGCGUGAGGGAUGACGGCUUUCGGGUUGUAAACCUCUUUCAGUGAUGACGAAAAUGACGGUAAUCACAGAAGAAGGUCCGGCCAACUACGUGCCAGCAGCCGCGGUAACACGUAGGGACCGAGCGUUGUCCGGAUUUAUUGGGCGUAAAGAGCUCGUAGGCGGUUGCGUAAGUCGGAUGUGAAAACUCAGGGCUCAACCCGGAGACGCCAUCCGAUACUGCGCUGACUAGAGUCCGGUAGGGGAGCAUGGAAUUCCUGGUGUAGCGGUGAAAUGCGCAGAUAUCAGGAGGAACACCAGUGGCGAAGGCGGUGCUCUGGGCCGGUACUGACGCUGAGGAGCGAAAGCAUGGGGAGCAAACAGGAUUAGA